This 309-nucleotide ribosomal RNA is filed under the name uncultured eukaryote. RNAcentral's name for it is "partial 18S ribosomal RNA". It matches the Rfam family "Eukaryotic small subunit ribosomal RNA", at positions 1470 to 1796 of the family's 1831-position model. The record is from RNAcentral.
CCCUUAGAUGUUCUGGGCGGCCCGCGCACUACAUUGGAACUCUCAAUAAGUUCCUAGAUCUAAAACUUUGGGGUAUUCUAUUAAGUGGUGUCGUGACUGGGAUUAACCCUUGCAAUUAUUGGUUACGAACGAGGAAUUCCUUGUAAUCGCGGUUUAUCAGCCCGCGUUGAAUGCGUCCCUGCCCUUUGUACACACCGCCCGUCGCUCCUACCGAUGAAUCGUCCGGUGAAGUUCAUGGAGUGGUGGUUGUUCCAGCUGCUGUCGAAGUGAAAUGGACCUCACGAUUUAGAGGAAGGAGAAGUCGUAACA